UGUGUGUGUGUGUAUUAGCGUGUACCUGGUAGUGUGUGUACCCUUGUGUGUGUGUGUAUUAGUGUGUACCUGGUAGUGUGUGUACCUGUGUGUGUGUGUGUAUUAGUGUGUACCUGGUAGUGGGCCAGUGUGUUCAGCCUCUUCCAGUCGCUCUCUAUCUUUGUCGUCACGUCUUCGUCCUGCAGGAUGAUCCUGGUCAGUCGACCCUGUCGCCACUCUAUGACAUGACAAGCACACAAAGGUCACAUGCUGCGGUCACGUGACAGGAAGUGACACAGGAACAAGGGGCGGAGCCUCACCGAGGUCCAUGUCGUCGGCCUGAGGCCUCUGAGAGAAGGGGAUGCCUUUGUAGACGGCGUCGAGCAGCUUGUCCUUCACCUGGGUCACCGUGUCACAGUUCAACACCUUUACCGGGACCUCCGUCACCGCCUCGCCCUCCGGGGGGAUGCACAUCAGGGUCUGUUGGAGGGGUUCCGUUAAGUCUGUCCAAGCUUCACAACACGUUAUUGUCUUAAGGAAGCGUCUUUAAUGACUGGCUAUAUAUGUGUGUGUGUAUACGUGUGUGUGUGUGUGUGUGUGUGUGUGUGUGUGUGUGCGUGCGCGUGUGUAACCUGCUGCUUGUAGUCGAUCUGCUGUCUGAUCAGUUUGUCUUCACUCAGAGAAUAACGAGCUUCUCCUGUGAUCGCGUCGAUCGGACCUUUUUCCAUCUGCUGCUUUAUGGCACAAUACAACAUGAAGAGAGGCUCGCCUGCACACUCCUGAGAGACAGACAGGUGGAGACAGACAGGUGGAGAGACAGUGUCAGGAGUGAUUCCUUCACCUCAGCUUCAUCCACUAAAAGAUUCAAGCGGUCCUUCUAAUUUCCUGAGAAUUGAUCAAGCAGAGCUGUGAUCUGAUUGGUCGCAGUGGGACCGAAGAGGAGGAGCCUAACGGGGAGUCACCUUGAGGAAGCGAUGCAGCAGGAAGGUGAACCAGUUGGUCAGCAUCUUCUCAGCCACGGAUUCCGUCCUGAAAACACAUGCACACGGAGGUCAAAGGUCAGCUCCAGACGGCUCUACUGUGUGGCCUGGUUCAAAGGUCGACGGUCAAAGCAGGUGCACAGACCUCCUCAGCAGGAGCUUGGGAUGGUUUCGGUUCUCCAGGUUCUUCUCGAUCAGGUCGGCCAGCAGCUGUUUUAACACCACUGUAGCGUAUUCCAUACGACCCUAGAGACCAGUAGGGAGUCAGAUACUGACCACAAGCCCCAAACGUCUAUUAAACAACCUCUGUAACAACCUCUUCUCACUCCAAUCCUCAUCAUACUGGCAUCUGCAGGCAUCUGCAGUACUUAGGCCAUCAUACGAGUACCUGCAGAGCGGCCAUCAGCAGCGAGGCCACGUUGCCGCGGUCCCUCAUGGAGAACGACCUCUGGGCCUCCAGCGUGUGGAUGAAGGUCAGCAGGAACAUCUUGUUGUUGAGCAGCUGGCUGAAGAGACGCAGAGCCUUUUCCACGUUGGCUGGAGACUGAGGCAGAGACAACCAGAUGUACACACAAGUAUACACACAUAUCCAGAUGUGUGGAUGAACACAGUGGUGUGUGGGCUCCCUACGUCCAGCUCCUUCAGCACCGGGUGCUCCUCGAUGCCCGGGAACAUGACCCUCAUGGUGUAGGUCCGGUACUCCAGGAACGGGAUCUUCACCCCGUCCAUGUCGUUGGUCAGCUCCUGGAUGUCUGUCUGCAGCUCGGCGAAGGCUGCGAGGGGGAGGGGGGGGAGAGGAGGUCCCGUUUGAACAGAAAACCCUUUGUAUAUCAUUCGGAGGUUCUUUAUCGAGCCCCACGGUCUUUGAACACAUCGUGUGAUACUUCACACGUUGUGAGCAUCGUAUUGAGCUCCUCAGCGAACCGAUGACAUCCAGAUGAAUUAAGUCGUGUGAGUUGUCUGAACAUCAAUAAGACUCUUUUAGCGUAUCGUGUUAUUCUGCACUAGAGACGAGUUCUAGCUCCCUGCAUCCACAGAGAGGACACGUGAGGCGAGUUCAGGAGCAGAGGAAACCGGAAUAUCUGGUUGCCGGCGGCAACGGGGCCACCCCUGACCUCUGACCUCUGACUCACCCUCCUUGCACUCCAGCGCCACGCGGCUCUCCAGGUUGUCCAUCUGCAGCUGGAGGCGUUUGAGCGUGCGGUCGGCGUCGCGGGUCUUCCUCUUGUAGGCGAUGAGCACGGCGAUGAUGGCGAUGAGCAGCACGCCGCCGCCCGCCCCGAUGCCGAUGAUGGCGGGCAGCGUCAGGGCGCUGUCGGAGUAGAUGUGUAGCGUGCCCGGCGAGUACUCCAGACCCCCCACCAGGAUCUGGGAAGGGCGGGAGACUGAGUCAGGGCUGCACAGGGGUGGGAUAUCAAACGCUCCCUCAUUAGGACACAAGUCCACACUUCCUGUGUGUGUGUGCGACGAUAACUGUAAAUAUAUUUACACGUAUGAGGGCCGUCAACAUAAAAGCGUUAAUCUGUGCGAUUAAUGUGGCCGAGUUUAAUACAACUAAAUAUUUAUAAUUAAUGUUUGUUUGUUGAGUGCAGAAACGAAACGGCUGCAACUACCAACUGUACCGUAAUCAGACGAGUAUUUACCGCUAUAACGGUGGAUGAAAUCCAGCGCUCUGAUUGGUUGAGAGUCACGAGGGGCUCGUUAUUGGGCCUUAAAGUACAGAACCUGCUCACAUUGACCCGAUUGCUCCGUAUCACUGCGCACUCACAGGAGCAGCUGAGACUUUCUGCGACUCUUAGUUGACAUUUUAUCUUUUAGAUCGGUGGCGAUCGCCGAAAGGGAAAUCCCACAAAUGAUUUUGAUCAGUAUGAUCGGUUUGAUCAGUUUGAUCAGUUUGAUCGGUUUGAUCGGUUUGAUCAGUUUGAUCAGUUUGAUCGGUUUGAUCGGUUUGACAAUUGAGGUGGGCGUCCUGAGCGGUGUGAAUGAACGAGAUGAGCCGGUGCUGUUUACACGCAGGGUCUAUUUUCCUGUAGACGACUGAAAUGAGACACAACGUUUGGUGGCUACAACUACUUUGUGUUUACAGGCAGCUAUUUAUAAUCUCACUGGUGACGCGUUAUGAAAGCAAUAAGUUAUGAGCGGCUCUACUUUAUCUUCAAUAAUAACAGUUCGAGGGUUUCCGGCAAAACCAACGGUUUCAUUAUUGGACGAUAAGUACAGCCGCUCGUACCUUAUUUAAGUGUAGGAGCGUGUAAACAAACGAGAGGCAAGGAUUCCUUUUGGCUCAUAAUAGAUAUAUUUUGUAUUACUAUUGAAUGUAAGUGCAGAUAAGUGUAAAGAGACCCUCACGCAUGUGUAUAAAUAUAUACACACAUAUGUAUAUAUGCAGAUUUAAUACUGAUGGAGAUCAAUUACAAAAACAAUCUGAUGAAUACAUUAUGAAGACGAGGGAGAGAACUUGAAUAAUGUAUCAAUACUCCACCACAAGGCCUUCAGACAUCCACACGACCCGAACUCUUUCAACCGAGCUGGUCUGCUGAGUGUGUUGAUUCUGCUGUUUUACGUUAAUUGAAUUGCUGGUUGUCUUUCGCUCUUGCUGUUUCUUCGUGGCUGGACUGACAGACUCUAGAUUACAGUGAAUUGAGGGACAGUGUGUCCUCUUAUCUUUGCUUUGUCUUCUGAAGCAAAACCCACUUGCAUCAUUGAAACUCUUAGUUUGUCAAAACCACUCUCCGCUCUGCAUGUGAUAAACUGCUUGUUCCUCCUCACUGAGAGCAAAACACUGGACUAGAUCUCCACUCUUUGCUGUCCUGCUCCUAAAUGGUGGAAGGAGGUCUCUGAAGACAUCAGGACCACAGAGAGCCUUCACAUCUUCAGACUAAAGACACACCUCUUCACACUCUUCCUCCACUAACACACUAACUGCAGCACUUACAUUGGACUUAUAAUGGUUCUUAUCUACAGCGAGUUGUACAUCGGCUUAUUUGAUGAAAUCACUCUGUUGUUUCUGGCUCUUCUGAGUUUGUGUCCUUAUUGUAAGUCGCACAAAUGACAUGUGCUGUAACGUGUGUGUGUGUGUCACACUCUGAUAUGUGACUUCAGACCAAUUACCCAUGAUCCCGUGGGGCUGCAGUUAACAACUUUCACCUUUCUAUAGAUGUGACUUCCUCGCCUCUGACCUUCCUUUCCUUGUCUCCUUCCUUUGUUCCUCCUGUGACCUACUAUUGUCUCUCCAUGUCCUUCCUCACGUUUGUUUGCUGCUGCCUUUAAUUGACCGUUUCUUCUUAAAGACAUUCUUAAGUUACACUGCAAAUCUUUUAACGCCUUUUUUAUCGUUUUAAUGACUGUUUUUCUUUUGUUUCAAUGUAUCAAUGUUCUUAAGUGUAUAAAUCUCCUUGCUUGUUUUUAAUGGUUUUGUGUGACUCUGAAUUUCCUUGCCUUAUCUCCUUUCCUAAUCUCCUUUUCUUAUACUUCUUUAUUCUGCUCUUCUCUUUUUCUCUACCUAGUCUCCAAUUUCUUUCCUCCUUUCCUUAACUCCUCUUCUUCUUUCCUUGUUUCCUUUCCUCUACCUAAUUCUCCCCAUUGUUUGGCUCUCCUUUCCUCCCCCCUCUUCUCUCAAGCCCCGCCCCCACGCUGGAGGGGGCGGGGCUACGCAUAUAUCACUCACCAGAACUCGCUGUUCUCCGGUGAGAUCCGGCGAAUCACAGAGCAGCUGGUUCUCCGACACGGUGAGGAGACACGGGGACUCCCCGAUGAGCACGGUGUAGUUCAGCCGGUUGUUGCCGGGGGCAACAGGGACCAGGUUCUUCCCCUGGGGACCCGAGAGGUACUCUUACUACAGCACGACUGCACAGGUUAAAGCACUACAUGUACCUCUGUACACUGACCUUCAGGAUGAUCGGUGACCCCGGUUUGACCUCCAGGAUGCCAGAGCUCCCCAGGGGGGUCAAAGGUGGGGUUGGGGUAGUGUGUGAAGGGGGUGGAGUUCAGGACCAGCAGAGAGGAGACCUGGAGAGGACAUCAGGGACGAAAUAUCAGAUCCAACUUGCACAGAGGACAGGCAGUGGGACAGCGGCGUGCAGUGUAGGGGGGCGCUGUUCCUGGGUCCUGUAUCACUACCAUCAUUACUACUAAUACUACAAAUACUACUCCUACCACUGCAAAUAUUAACUGAACUAACUACUUCUGAAGACAUUUGACUCGACCCAUGAAGCUGUGUAUGUGUGUGUAACUGUAUGUGUGUGUGUGUGUGUGUGUGUGUCACCUGGUCAAAGAUGAAGCCGAACUCAUCGGGGUGCAGCGCCCCCUCUGGUGGGUCCGGCUCGCCGUAUAUCAGACCGGGCGCCAAACACGUCAUCGUGCUGUCGUUCAGGGCAGAACAGAACUAGGGAGAGAAGAGUCAUCGGUUAAAGCUGCGUUCUGUGCAGUGACCAGCAGGGGGCGACUCCUCUGCUCCCAUAGACGUCUAUGAGGAAAUGACUCUACUUCUCUGUAGUGACCAGCAGGGGGCGACUCCUCUGCUCCCAUAGACGUCUAUGAGGAAAUGACUCUACUUCUCUGUAGUGACCAGCAGGGGGCGACUCCUCUG
Gasterosteus aculeatus aculeatus (three-spined stickleback) is the source of this 5547-nucleotide long non-coding RNA. The record is from Ensembl. Lineage: Eukaryota; Metazoa; Chordata; Actinopteri; Perciformes; Gasterosteidae.